This is a long non-coding RNA of Pogoniulus pusillus (Red-fronted tinkerbird), 943 nucleotides long. RefSeq lists it as uncharacterized. The transcript has 6 exons. The record is from RefSeq and is a predicted model, not a curated record. NCBI's taxonomy places the organism in Eukaryota, Metazoa, Chordata, Aves, Piciformes, Lybiidae.
AGAUUUCAAGUGCUGAGUGCAGGAGAGGAGAUGCCAGGCUAGUGCCCAUCCUUUCAUCUUCACACAGAGACAGAAACUGCACAGGGACUGUGGUGGAGCAAAGUGGAUGGCAAAGACAGCAAAGACUCGGCACUGACCCUUGCCGGCACACAGGAAAGACCCCUGGAAUAUGACAAGGAGCUAUGUGAACGUUGUUUACUCCAACAACUUCUGCUACACUUCUGCCUAGAAAGUUAAUCUCUGUGAAAUGUAAUGCCUGUGAAGAGUAUUCAACUACAUCCUCUCAAUCUCAUGGGGCUAUGAUUUGAAGGGAUCUUUCAGAAGAAGGAAGGAAACUGUUAUAAGAGACGAUUGCAGCUUUCAUCUUAAUAUCUUAUGGGUACAGAAGAUUGUUCCAAUAGACAGCAGGACAUCAGUUACAGAUGUGAAGCAUACUCACAGGCAUAUGGAUCUUACAUUAGCAGACUGUCCAAAGAAUUAAGCAGUGGGGAUGCACAACAGUCCAGAUGUUACAAAUUUCUAUCAGUGGUCAUUGCAGCAUGAAAUCUCAUAUGAGAUUCACUUCUUGGAAUCAUUCAAGGUUUAAAAGGAGCCCAAGAUAAUAGACUCAGAUAAAAAUGUUUGCUUGUGGCUGAAAGAAACUCAUCCCAGAAAUGAAGAAGUGUUGACAACCAGUUGAGGGAUAAAAAACAGUUAUUACUUUACAGUAAUGACAGUAUUUGACAUACAUUGACUGUUGACAUUGCAUUGCCAAGAGGCUUUGGCCACAAAAACCUGAUCUUUUAUACAUGAAAGAACGUGAAUACCAGAAGAAGAAAUAGAUUACACUAAGUUAAAUAGCUAUGCUUUUUCCACAUGAUUUUGCAACUAAAUUAAUGAACAAUAACAACAAAUUGCAUUGCAAUACACAUUUGAGGAGGAAUUUGUUCAGCAUGAGAGUGGU